Molecule: transfer RNA, 72 nt
Filed under: Desulfosporosinus sp.
Lineage: Bacteria; Bacillati; Bacillota; Clostridia; Eubacteriales; Desulfitobacteriaceae
Also listed under: 8 other names
Description: tRNA-Ala
Rfam family: tRNA
About the family: Transfer RNA (tRNA) molecules are approximately 80 nucleotides in length. Their secondary structure includes four short double-helical elements and three loops (D, anti-codon, and T loops). Further hydrogen bonds mediate the characteristic L-shaped molecular structure. tRNAs have two regions of fundamental functional importance: the anti-codon, which is responsible for specific mRNA codon recognition, and the 3' end, to which the tRNAs corresponding amino acid is attached (by aminoacyl-tRNA synthetases). tRNAs cope with the degeneracy of the genetic code in two manners: having more than one tRNA (with a specific anti-codon) for a particular amino acid; and 'wobble' base-pairing, i.e. permitting non-standard base-pairing at the 3rd anti-codon position.
Source: RNAcentral
GGGCUGAUAGAUCAGCGGAAGAUCGCCGCCUUCGCAAGGCGGAGGCCGCGGGUUCAAAUCCCGCUCAGUCCA